Non-coding RNA from Castor canadensis (American beaver), 1347 nucleotides. The record is from RefSeq and is a predicted model, not a curated record. NCBI's taxonomy places the organism in Eukaryota, Metazoa, Chordata, Mammalia, Rodentia, Castoridae.
GAGGACUUGAGUCCCAUACCCCUGGAAUUUGCACCAUCCUGCACCACCGCACCCGAAGCCCUGCGCUUGCAGCCCCCUGAGGAUCUGGAGUCCCGCGUCCCCUCGGCAGUGGCGGAAGCCUCCACAGUCCAGGCUGCCUGACUGGGUGGAGAGCCUCGCCUUCCUCCGCUCCGCCCGCGCCAUGGCUGCCCCCGACCUGUCCACCAACCUCCAGGAAGAAGCCACCUGCGCCAUCUGCCUAGACUAUUUUACGGACCCGGUGAUGACAGACUGCGGACACAACUUCUGUCGCAAAUGCAUCCGGCGCUGCUGGGGCCAGCCCGAGGGCCCUUAUGCUUGCCCUGAGUGUCGCGAGCUGUCCCCGCAAAAAAACCUGAGACCCAACCGUCCGCUCGCCAAGAUGGCUGAGAUGGCUCGGCGCCUGCACCCGCCAUCGCCAGUCCCUCAGGGCUUGUGCGCAGCGCACCGCGAGCCACUGGCUUCCUUUUGCGGCGACGAGCUGCGCCUGCUGUGUGCCUCCUGCGAGCGCUCAGGGGAACACUGGGCGCACCGUGUACGCCCGCUGCAGGACGCGGCUGACGACCUCAAGGGGAGGCUGGAGAAGUCACUGGAGCACCUGCGAAAACAAAUGGAGGAUACACUGCUGUUCCAAGCCCAGGCUGAGGAGACCUGUGCCUUGUGGCAAAAAAAAUGAUAGAGAGUCAGAGGCAAAAUGUGCUGGGUGAGUUCGAGCGACUACAUCGUCUGCUGGCCGAGAAAGAGCAAAAGCUGCUGCAGAAGCUAGAGGAGGAAGAGCUAGAGGUGCUGCCCCGGCUGCAUGAGAGUGCCACAAGACUUGGCCAGCAGAGCGCCCAACUAGCUACACUCAUUGCUAAACUUGAAGGCCGCUGCCAACUGCCAGCGCUGGGGCUGCUGCAGGACAUUAAGGACUCCCUACACAGGGUUCAGGACGUGAAGCUGCAACCUCCAGAGAUGGUACCUAUGGAGCUGAGGACCGUGUGCAGGGUCCCAGGGCUGAUGGAGACCCUGCAGAGGUUUCGAGGGGAUAUGACCUUGGACCCAGACACUGCCAACCCUGAGCUGGUCCUGUCUGAGGACAGAAGGAGUAUGCAGCGGGGUGAGCAGCGGCAGGCCCUACCAGACAGUCCUGAGCGCUUUGACCCUGGCCCCCGCGUACUAGGCAAGGAACGCUUCACCUCGGGCCGCCAUUACUGGGAAGUAGAAGUUGGUGACCGUGCCAGCUGGGCCCUGGGUGUUUACAGAGAAAAUGUCAACCGGAAAGAGAAGGGAGGGUUGAGCAAGCCCAAGAAGUACGUGCAAGAUGUGCCCUGCUUGCUUGCCAAAUGA